UUUUGCGCANUGGGGGAAACCCUGNCGCANCAACGCCGCGUGGAGGAUGAAGUCCUUCGGGACGUAAACUCCUUUCGAUCGGGACGAUAAUGACGGUACCGGAAGAAGAAGCCCCGGCUAACUUCGUGCCAGCAGCCGCGGUAAUACGAGGGGGGCGAGCGUUGUUCGGAAUUAUUGGGCGUAAAGGGUGCGUAGGCGGUUUGGUAAGUCUCAUGUGAAAUCUAUGGGCUCAACUCAUAGACUGCAUGAGAAACUGCCGGGCUGGAGUGUGGGAGAGGUGAGUGGAAUUCCCGGUGUAGCGGUGAAAUGCGUAGACAUCGGGAGGAACACCUGUGGCGAAAGCGGCUCACUGGACCAUAACUGACGCUGAUGCACGAAAGCUAGGGGAGCAAACAGGAUUAGAUACCCUGGUAGUCCUAGCCCUAAACCAUGACUGCUUGGUGUGACGGGUACCCAAUCCCGCCGUGCCGCAGCUAACGCGUUAAGCAGUCCGCCUGGGGAGUACGGUCGCAAGGCUGAAACUCAAAAAAAUUGACGGA
This 539-nucleotide ribosomal RNA is filed under the name uncultured bacterium. Its description in RNAcentral is "bacterial SSU rRNA". It matches the Rfam family "Bacterial small subunit ribosomal RNA", at positions 362 to 917 of the family's 1533-position model. The record is from RNAcentral.